GGCUUGUCGAAGUGAAGUAGUGUUUACAACUAAUUUACCACAACCAGUAACAAAUUUUUUUGUUCUUUCUGCACUCCCACUGCGUCACUUGACUAGAUAAAA
RNAcentral lists this Y RNA (102 nucleotides) under Cercocebus atys (sooty mangabey). RNAcentral's name for it is "Y RNA (ENSCATG00000005007.1)". It matches the Rfam family "Y RNA". From Rfam's summary of the family: Y RNAs are components of the Ro ribonucleoprotein particle (Ro RNP), in association with Ro60 and La proteins. The Y RNAs and Ro60 and La proteins are well conserved, but the function of the Ro RNP is not known. In humans the RNA component can be one of four small RNAs -- hY1, hY3, hY4 and hY5. Lineage: Eukaryota; Metazoa; Chordata; Mammalia; Primates; Cercopithecidae. The record is from RNAcentral.